AGCGACUCACGGCCUUCUAACGGCUACACUCGACCUUCAGACGACGACUCACUGCAAUAUGAUGAUGACCCACUGCAGUCCCACGCCGCCCAUGCAAACUUGACCCACGGUGACUCCAACCCACAUCUUCACCUUCCUUGCUGAUCCAAAAUUAUCAUAUUAUAAGUAUGGAUAAAUCAUGAAAGAGAAGAAAGGGAUUGCUAUUAAUAUACCACCCAUAUCUCUUACAUCAAAGAAGAAGAUCGUAGAAGAGGAGGAAGUGAUUGCAACUAGGCCAUCAAUAUCAAAGAAUGAGGUAAAAGCUUCAAAGUCAAUGACAAAGGAGGUGAAAGUUACAAAUGAACCAUCCAAUCUACAAAUACAAUUGAAGUAUAUUCUUAGAUAUGCUGAAAGGGUAAUGGUUGAUGGGUCUAAUUUUUCAUUUCAACUAUCUCCUAAGUUAUUUGACAUACCUUAAAAGAGUUGCAUUUUGCGAGAAGAUGUUAUUGAUUUUUGUAACAUGCAAAAAGUUAAGAUUUUAUCAAUAGUGGCUUAUAUUAUGUAAGUAAAUAUUACUUCUUCAUUAUAUAUAUAUUCACACUUUUUAAUUAGUAGUAA
Molecule: long non-coding RNA, 597 nt
Organism: Cucumis melo (muskmelon)
Lineage: Eukaryota; Viridiplantae; Streptophyta; Magnoliopsida; Cucurbitales; Cucurbitaceae
Exons: 3
Source: RefSeq, a predicted model, not a curated record